RNAcentral lists this long non-coding RNA (670 nucleotides) under Zea mays. RNAcentral describes it as "drought-responsive long non-coding RNA". The record is from RNAcentral. Lineage: Eukaryota; Viridiplantae; Streptophyta; Magnoliopsida; Poales; Poaceae.
CACCUCCACCCAUGCUAUUGAGCCCCACUCUUCGACCCAAACCACCACACUGCCCAGAUUCAGAUCCACCCAGCGCAGCGCCGUUGUGACUACUGGAUCUCACCGUGGUUCUCACCACCGUCAGCAAGCCCACCUCCGAGCUCUCCUACUAGCGGAAGGUGCUUCGCACCACUGAGCAAGUUGGGUAGUGCUCGUUGGCCUCACCGCCGACGAAUGUGUCCUAUCGCGCUUCCUCUACAACGAGUGCAUCAACCACUCCUUUGUCUAUGAGGCACCGCUCCCCGUCUCCAUGUUUGCGCUUAGGCUCAUUGAUAAGGCGCAGGAACCGAGUCGCGCGGGGCAGAGCUAUGCGGGGGCAUGAGCCGUGCGGGGCUGAACCGCAUGGAGCCAAAGCCGCACGGAGGGCGGAGCUGCGCACGCCAGGAUGGUCCAAGUGAUGGACCGUUGGGUCCAUCACCCUAGGUGAAGAGUAUAUAAAUAUAUGUUGGGCCUGGGAACCAGGUGGAUGACUAGGGUGGAUUAGGGGUGACUAAUCACCCUAAUCGGCUGAUCGCCCAGGCCAGCUGAUCAAGCGAUCUAAAAUCCAUGGUCCUCUUCAACAAUAUUUAAAGUAUUCCUUGUAUGCUUCCUUCUACUGUAUGUUUGGCUAACAAAUUUUUUUGAGGCAUCA